This 190-nucleotide unclassified non-coding RNA is filed under the name soil metagenome. Its description in RNAcentral is "partial contains small subunit ribosomal RNA, internal transcribed spacer 1, and 5.8S ribosomal RNA". The record is from RNAcentral.
UCUCCGUAGGUGAACCUGCGGAGGGAUCAUUACUGAAUGGCUCUCUGGGCCUUCAACCCCUCAAACCUGUGGACCUCAAACACUGUGCUUCGGCGCCGUUCUAGGGCGGCGUCGCUUUUAUGCAUACAGUCUGAAGUUGUCUGAUUGCUUUGAAGAUUGAAAACUUUCAACAAAGGAUCUCUUGGCUCUC